This 73-nucleotide transfer RNA is filed under the name Mus musculus (house mouse). It matches the Rfam family "tRNA". From Rfam's summary of the family: Transfer RNA (tRNA) molecules are approximately 80 nucleotides in length. The record is from Rfam by way of RNAcentral. Lineage: Eukaryota; Metazoa; Chordata; Mammalia; Rodentia; Muridae. RNAcentral also lists the same sequence under 1 other name.
GGAGGAAUGGCUCAGUGGUUAAGAGCACUGGCUGCUCUUCAAGAGGACCUAGGUUUGAUUCCUGGUACCCUCU